UUUUAUUAAUUUAUUAAUAAUAAUAUCUGCUCAAUGAAAUAUUAAAUAGCCGCAAGUUCUGUGCUAAGGUAGCAUAAUAAUUCGUUUUUUAAUUGAAAACUAGAACAAAAGAUUUAACAAUUAAUUUUAAUAUAAAAUUUAUUUAAGAAAAUUUUUUUAAAUGUAAAAAAUCAUUUAUUUAAACGAUAGACGACAAGACCCUAUUGAACUUUACUAAAGUUAAACUGGGGAAGUUAAUUAAUUAAAACUUUAAUUUUCAAAAAAAAUAGAACUAAUAUAAUUAAUUAUUUAAGCAAGUUACCAUAGGGAUAACAGCGCAAUCAUUAUUUAAAGUUCUUAUUAAAAUAAUAGAUUACGACCUCGAUGUUGAUUAAUUUACUAUAUGAUGCAAUAACCAUAUUAGAAAGUCUGUUCGACUUUUAAAAUAUUACA
RNAcentral lists this ribosomal RNA (432 nucleotides) under Paccius cf. scharffi MR037. Its description in RNAcentral is "partial 16S ribosomal RNA". Lineage: Eukaryota; Metazoa; Arthropoda; Arachnida; Araneae; Trachelidae. The record is from RNAcentral.